This 253-nucleotide ribosomal RNA is filed under the name uncultured bacterium. RNAcentral's name for it is "partial 16S ribosomal RNA". It matches the Rfam family "Bacterial small subunit ribosomal RNA", at positions 524 to 776 of the family's 1533-position model. The record is from RNAcentral.
UACAGAGGGGGCAAGCGUUGUUCGGAAUUACUGGGCGUAAGGGGCGCGUAGGCGGCCUUCUAAGUCGAACGUGAAAUCCCCGGGCUCAACCCGGGAACUGCGUCCGAUACUGGAAGGCUUGAAUCCGGGAGAGGGAUGCGGAAUUCCAGGUGUAGCGGUGAAAUGCGUAGAUAUCUGGAGGAACACCGGUGGCGAAGGCGGCAUCCUGGACCGGCAUUGACGCUGAGGAGCGAAAGCCAGGGGAGCAAACGGG